GUAUGCCAUCUCCAUGGCCUCCGCAACGGAAUGGUCCACUGAAACAGGCGUCAAUCAAGACGUGCCAUAAAAAAAAAAGAUUUUUGCAACUGUUCGACUAAAAAAUUCUCAGUCCACCAACAGCCUAUCGACCAGUCGACUAAAUGGGGUCAGCCCUAGUACGCACACACAAACACACACAAGUGUGUCCUUUUCUGUCUCUAGGUCCACCAACAGAACUCGCUCCCCCACCAGAGGACAUCAGGCCAGUGGCAGAACCCAAUGAGAGGUCUAAUCAGCAACACUGGUACGUAACAGUCAUUCAUCUGUUUUACUUAGGGUCUCGGCUAAGUCAGAUGCAUGUUAGGUUAUGACAUCCAGUUGAUCAACUGUCUUAUGCGCCGACCCUCUAUGCAAUCAGGUUCGCAGACGCACAGCGGCCACACAGCAGUUCACCUGUCUAGUAUGCCCACCCCGCUGCGUCUGGGAGGCUGGACGGAGGAACAGGAGGAGGAGGAAGAGGAAGUCCUCAACAGGGGAUCGACUCCUAAACAGGACUCCAGGAGUAGUUGUUAAAGUGCCUUAAAUAAAGGGUGUUUACACUCCUUUCUCGAUGAACAGUGUGGCCUUAGAUGAUCCUUUUUGGAGAGUAUUAUGACAUCACGUAACACAACAAGGCAGUUGGGAGAGCUCAUUGGAUAACCAUUGUCUCAGUCUCCACCCCACUACCAUGCCUCUCCUAUCACAUCAGGAGUUGUUGUGGCAUCAGGGAAACUGACCUGUCUUCCAUCCCUAUCGCCAUGUCAUAAUUUUGUUAUAAAAUGUAUAAAUAUCGCUCAUAGAGGACUGGAGUCUAUAUGUGUGUGUGUUUGUGUGAGUGUGAAAGAGCGUUGUGUGUGUGUUUAGAACUCGGGGAAAGGGUGGCAUGCACAGCCAGGACACUUGCAGGGCAGGCUUGAGCAUGGUACAUAGCAACACCUGUCACACUUUUGUUGCGUUUCUUCAUGUGUUUAUUUUAUUAACGUUUUAUUUGUGCAUCUGGGAGGUUUACAAUGUGGGUCUGGGUUCACUUUCUCAUGGUGGAAAUGGUGUCUUAUCUGGUGCUGAAGAGAGUAUGGAGUGAAGGUCUAUCAUACUAGCUGCCUGACCAUUUUCACUAUAUGAGGAAAGUUGAGUACAAAAUUAUACAUUGGCGUAUUUGGCCAUUACUUAUUAUUGCUUGACAUUUGUAAAUACACUUUAGCGUCUUACCUCUAUAUGUUCUGGCAGUUUUAAUGAUUGGGAAAGAUGCGAAGUAAUGCAGUGACAUGAAGUAGGCUGCAACUAUACUACUUAGGUCACCAUUAGGACCCAACAAGAAAAUCUGACAAAAGCCUCCAGAUGGACUAGAUUCAUUAACCACGUUUCUAAACUGGACAUAAUCUCAUUGAAAGCUGCUGUCUAUGACUUUAAUGGGCUUAAUACCAUGUUUUCUUCAGUAUUAAGUUAUUUAUCUUCUUUUUAAAGUCCUUGGGGACCCUUAAAACAGUAUUUAACAGGUAAUAACUUGAUUAUUCUGUAUCAAAGGAUCACCAAUGUUCUGUCUCCACUGGCAACAGAGAUGUGUUACUUGACAAAUGCACGAAGAUCAAGAUGACAUAUUUGCCCAGGCAGUAACUACAUUGUUGUGGGUAGCUAUGAGAAUAGGCAAUGCAGAGUCGCAUAUCAUGUACAGUAAAUCAUUAAGUGUUGUUGAUUUUGCAUGUACUGCUCAACAUUUUGUUCACGGAACACUUCCCCCCCAAUGUACACAGAAGAAGUGAACUUUUUAUUAUACGGGCUGUUCCUAAAAUUGUCAUUACAGCAGUUGGAGUUUGUGGUUUUACUUUAUUUGUAAGUUAAUCCUAUGUCAGUAUUUUACUUUUCUCAGAGAACAGCCUAAGAUGUCAUUUUAAAUAAGAUAAUUCUCCCUUUGUUGUCCCAAAUAUUUAAACUGUCCAGAUUUCUGAGAUAUGACCUAUAAUGAAUUAUUUAAUUAAUUACAAUAUGAGUGAAAUAGUAAUUAUGUUAAGAAGCAGCUUUUCUUUGUUGGUGGUAUGGGUGAACCCCAACAACAGAAUGUUUUGGGUGUAUACCGGUCAUGCAAAUAGAGAGCUGAUUGGCCAGCUCAGCCAAUGAGCCAACGCGAUAUCGUAUUAUAUGACAAAAUUGCAAGCAUUUUUUUAAUAGUCUGGUUGAGAUACAAGUUUGAUGUGGGUUUUUUGAAGUCCUUUUUUUUUCUCUUCAAUUUAUGUUUUGUACACAAAUACAAGUAUAGGACGAGUCAGCAACAUUAUUUGAGUACGAGUUAACAGAAUGUCAACUUUUUAAAAGUGAGAUUUUCACUGGAUUUUAAGUUAUGAAUAUCUUUAGUAUUAAAUAUUUAAUUGAGCAUUUAUUGGUUUCCUUAAGAAUUCAUCUUUAUAGUAAAUACAUUCAUACCAAAUAUGAUUGGGAUCUAAUUUUAAUAAUAUAUUUUUUGAAAUUCUUAAAUUGCCCCAUGUAAAACAAAUGUAUUUUCCUGGAUGUAUUUCUCAUGCAACAUUGAACAAAACAGAUUUUCUGAACUUUUUUUUUUUUAAUGAGUUUUUUUGUUGGUGUUGCCUUUGACACAACAUUUUUGGAUAUGCGGCUUCGAAAUUAAACAAUCCUUCAUGUGUGCUUUAGCACCACUUAGUGGUUUCAUCAGUACAGUACAACUCAAAGGAAAGCAAACGUGUUUGCGUGUAAAUGCUGAAUGUAACCCACCCAUCACCCCUAGAAAUGUAUCCUUGUUACUGUAGCCAGAACUGCUUAUUGAAACAUUACACAAAAGCUCCGUCACUGCUAUCCAUGUCCGGAUGAUCCAGUAACCUAGAGCACAUCUAUAUGUAUUUCUCUGUAUCCACCACUACUAUAAGACUUUAGAGAGCACAGGUGUUUGACGACUCUUUUCUUCAUUUUGUUUUCUAUAUGUGUGUUUUGAAGGGGUGUGAGUGUAGUCAUCAGUCUAACUAUGCUAAGCUAACAUUGACUCAAACGUUUUUGCACUGACUGAAAAUAAAAUGUCUAUUGAUCGAUACCUGCAUUAAACUACAUUUUAGAUAGAUACUAUAGAGCCGGGGUCUCAAAGGGAUAGUGAGUGGAACUCCCAUCCUGAGUGGCCUCUCUCACAGUAUGUAUAAUGUGCGUAUAGCAUCACCAUGCAUAGUAUUGUUAUCAUUCACAGUAUUGUUAUCAUUCACACUGUGGGCCUAUCGCAGACCUGGUUGUUGUUACCUCUGGUCAGUAAAAGUUCAGCCAGUAGGGGAAAUGUCUGUAAGUGUUUUUAGUAACAUUUUAGGCCUAGUCAAUGCUACAAUUGGUAUGGCUGUUGGUGUUCCAUUUGUCAUUACUGAUGUAUUGCGUUUUAGUUGUGGAGACAUGAUAGGUCAUGUGUCUUGCCUGUUUCCAUAGCUAGAUCUCAGUGCCUCACAUCUCUUUGUUUAUUAUUUAGCUUUAUUUUGAGCAGUGCCUUAGGGUUAGCAUUAGUUCCUUAUUAGAAACCAUUGUAUGUAAACCAUCAGAUCUAAUUUUACUUCGUAUUUUAGCAGCACAUAAUGUACAGUAUUUAUUUUGGCAGGUUGGUCAUAUUUUGGCAUCAAAUAUACAGUGGGAAUUGUAUUCUAAUAUUGUGGAUGAGGCUUGUGUAACAUGAACUACAACAUACUGAUAUUUGACAUCAAAGUAGUCAUCACCUUCACCUGAUAAGAGAAAUAAUCUCCUCAAAGUUUUUGUUUUGCACUGUCUGCCUUCCCGAUCCAAAAGAAGCUGUUGGGGAGAGGAAUAUUUUAUACCCUUUUCAAUUAAGUUGAAUGAUUAUUUUAUCAUAUCCUUGAGUCUCCCCACUCAAUAUCAUUGCUUCUUAUCCACUACAAACCAGUAAAAAAAAUAUAUAUAUUUUGACUGGUACAAGGUGCUACGUUUUUGUAUUCUAGUGUUGAAUAGUUUGAAGCAUCUUGUUUUCUUUGUUAAUUAGGUUUUUUCUUUUUGUUUGUUUUGUUAAUUUAAGGAACACUAGCUGAGAAGAAACCAUGCCAAAAUGACUUGUUUUCAACACAGCUUUAUCAUACACAUUUUAUUUGUUUUCUGUAACUGAAUAGAGGCAAAGGAAUUCUUAUUUCCUGUGUAUUUAAUCAUUGAAGUGUGUUCCAAGAUUUAAUGUACUUUGAAAUAAAAAAAUGUAAUAUACGUUCUAUUCUAUGCAUUUAUUGAGUUGGAAAUGUUUUCAUUGGCACAAACUUUCCAAAUGUAAUUCCUAAACUGCCACUAAACAUGAAAUAAAUACACAAUUCACAG
This 4314-nucleotide long non-coding RNA is filed under the name Salmo salar (Atlantic salmon). RNAcentral describes it as "lncRNA (ENSSSAG00000088444.1, ENSSSAG00000119966.1)". The record is from RNAcentral. Lineage: Eukaryota; Metazoa; Chordata; Actinopteri; Salmoniformes; Salmonidae.